This 60-nucleotide transfer RNA is filed under the name Neotoma lepida (desert woodrat). The record is from Rfam by way of RNAcentral. Lineage: Eukaryota; Metazoa; Chordata; Mammalia; Rodentia; Cricetidae.
AUGGCUCAGUGGUUAUGAGCUCUGGCUUCCCAUCCAGAGGACCUGGGUUCCAUUCCCAGU